UUGCUGAUCCAUGUUGCAAUGUGCAGACAGGAAAAAACCUUGCCCUCCUAAAUGAAAUGCUUGAGAAUACACUCUUCCUGAAGGAAAGAGGUUAGCACAUUCCUCCCGCUUAAGAUCCAGAUAGACUACACAUUGUUGCCGUGGAAGUCCAAAAUCAACCACCUUCACAGGUCGAUACUUGUAAGCACGUUCCACGAAACGAUGACUAGUGGAGGACGAGUCUUCUGCAGCUUGGCUUCGCUGACGAUGAGGAGCCUCAGCUUUAUAAAAGAGAGCCUCAAGCACAAGCUUG
Molecule: unclassified non-coding RNA, 292 nt
Filed under: Hevea brasiliensis (rubber tree)
Lineage: Eukaryota; Viridiplantae; Streptophyta; Magnoliopsida; Malpighiales; Euphorbiaceae
Source: RNAcentral